This 844-nucleotide ribosomal RNA is filed under the name Rhodotorula diobovata. RNAcentral's name for it is "partial large subunit ribosomal RNA". It matches the Rfam family "Eukaryotic large subunit ribosomal RNA", at positions 107 to 968 of the family's 3401-position model. The record is from RNAcentral. Lineage: Eukaryota; Fungi; Basidiomycota; Microbotryomycetes; Sporidiobolales; Sporidiobolaceae.
GCUCAAAUUUAUAAUCUGGCACCUUCGGUGUCCGAGUUGUAAUCUCUAGAAGUGUUUUCCGCGUUGGACCGCACACAAGUCUGUUGGAAUACAGCGGCAUAGUGGUGAAACCCCCGUAUAUGGUGCGGACGCCCAGCGCUUUGUGAUACACUUUCAAUGAGUCGAGUUGUUUGGGAAUGCAGCUCAAAUUGGGUGGUAAAUUCCAUCUAAAGCUAAAUAUUGGCGAGAGACCGAUAGCGAACAAGUACCGUGAGGGAAAGAUGAAAAGCACUUUGGAAAGAGAGUUAACAGUACGUGAAAUUGUUGGAAGGGAAACGCUUGAAGUCAGACUUGCUUGCCGGAGCUUGCUUCGGUUUGCAGGCCAGCAUCAGUUUUCCGGGGUGGAUAAUGACGGUUUGAAGGUAGCAGUCUCGGCUGUGUUAUAGCUUUCCGUUGGAUACGCCCUGGGGGACUGAGGAACGCAGCGUGCUUUUUGCGAAAGACUCGUCUUUUUCACGCUUAGGAUGCUGGUGGAAUGGCUUUAAACGACCCGUCUUGAAACACGGACCAAGGAGUCUAACAUGCUCGCGAGUAUUUGGGUGUCAAACCCGGAUGCGCAAUGAAAGUGAAUGUAGGUGGGAACCGCAAGGUGCACCAUCGACCGAUCUGGAUUUUUUAAGAUGGAUUUGAGUAAGAGCGCGUAUGUUGGGACCCGAAAGAUGGUGAACUAUGCCUGAAUAGGGCGAAGCCAGAGGAAACUCUGGUGGAGGCUCGUAGCGGUUCUGACGUGCAAAUCGAUCGUCAAAUUUGGGUAUAGGGGCGAAAGACUAAUCGAACCAUCUAGUAGCUGGUUCCUGCCGAGUCU